CACGUAGGCGGACUCUUAAGUCAGGGGUGAAAUCCUGGAGCUCAACUCCAGAACUGCCUUUGAUACUGGGAGUCUUGAGUUCGGGAGAGGUGAGUGGAACUGCGAGUGUAGAGGUGAAAUUCGUAGAUAUUCGCAAGAACACCAGUGGCGAAGGCGGCUCACUGGCCCGAUACUGACGCUGAGGUGCGAAAGCGUGGGGAGCAACA
Molecule: ribosomal RNA, 206 nt
Filed under: uncultured bacterium
Lineage: Bacteria
Description: partial 16S ribosomal RNA
Rfam family: Bacterial small subunit ribosomal RNA
Source: RNAcentral